UUGCACUUUUCUCCUCCACAAGGGGCUCAUCGUUGAUCUUUACUUCUUCAACUACAGGAGGUUGAAGAAGCUUUACUUCUGCUGGAGGUUCAAUGACAAUAUUCUCUUCUACUACAGAAGGUUCAGCAGCAAGCUCUCGUUCUUCAACAACAGGAGUAUCAUUUGCGAUUUUCUCUUCGACAAUGGGCUCAUCUGCGAUCUUCUCUUCUUUAACUACAGGAGUUUGAAGAAGCUUUACUUCCGCUGGAUGUUCAAUCACCACAUUUUCUUCUACUACAGGAGGUUCAGCAGCAAUCUCUGGUUCUUCAACAACAUGAGCAUCAUUUGCAAUUUUCUCUUUGACAAUGUGCUCAUCUGCGAUCUUUACUUCAACUGCAGGAGUUUGAAGAAGUUUUACUUCUGCUGGAGGUUGAAUCACAAUGUUCUCUUCUACUCCAGGAG
Molecule: long non-coding RNA, 441 nt
Filed under: Daucus carota (carrot)
Lineage: Eukaryota; Viridiplantae; Streptophyta; Magnoliopsida; Apiales; Apiaceae
Description: long non-coding RNA (DCAR_LNC006060)
Source: RNAcentral